RNAcentral lists this ribosomal RNA (475 nucleotides) under uncultured Ralstonia sp. RNAcentral describes it as "bacterial SSU rRNA". It matches the Rfam family "Bacterial small subunit ribosomal RNA", at positions 37 to 505 of the family's 1533-position model. The record is from RNAcentral. Lineage: Bacteria; Pseudomonadati; Pseudomonadota; Betaproteobacteria; Burkholderiales; Burkholderiaceae.
AUGGCGGCAUGCUUCACAUGCUGAUCGAACGGCAGCGCGGACUUCGGUCUGGCGGCGAGUGGCGAACGGGUGAGUAAUACAUCGGAACGUACCCUGUUGUGGGGGAUAACUAGUCGAAAGAUUAGCUAAUACCGCAUACGACCUGAGGGUGAAAGUGGGGGACCGAAAGGCCUCAUGCUAUAGGAGCGGCCGAUGUCUGAUUAGCUAGUUGGUGAGGUAAAGGCUCACCAAGGCGACGAUCAGUAGCUGGUCUGAGAGGACGAUCAGCCACACUGGGACUGAGACACGGCCCAGACUCCUACGGGAGGCAGCAGUGGGGAAUAUUGGACAAUGGGCGAAAGCCUGAUCCAGCAAUGCCGCGUGUGUGAAGAAGGCCUUCGGGUUGUAAAGCACUAAAUGUCCGGAAAGAAAUGGCUCUGGUUAAUACCUGGGGAAAGAUGACGGAACCGGCAGAAUAAGGACCGGGCUAACUACG